RNA transcript from Nymphaea colorata (pocket water lily), 1734 nucleotides. It is a transcript of the gene named mediator of RNA polymerase II transcription subunit 10b-like, with no coding region annotated. The record is from RefSeq and is a predicted model, not a curated record. NCBI's taxonomy places the organism in Eukaryota, Viridiplantae, Streptophyta, Magnoliopsida, Nymphaeales, Nymphaeaceae. The transcript has 9 exons.
CUCUCUCCCAUCUGUUUCCCCCUUCCUUCUCACCCUGUCUCGCCCGAGCCCUCUCUGUCUGCACUCUCUUCCUCCCGCGCUCCUCACUCACCCUCUCUUCGUCUCGCCUUCGGUCCCCCUCACCCUUGCUCUCCCUGUUCCCCCAAAUCGUGUCGUCCCUCUCCCUCUGUCCGUCUCCCCUCUCUGUCUGCACUCUCUCAUUCCCGCAAGCUCUCACGCCCUCUCUCCUGCACUGUCUCCCUCCUUCGCAACUCUCCCGCACUCUCUCUCUCUCCCUACCGCCCUCUCUCCCUACCUCCCUGACAUGGUGCGGUUUGGGUGCGAAUCUGAGUCGCACCCGCGUCGCGUGUGCGGGUCCAAAAACGGCGCACCCUGAUGACAUAUAAUACUCUUACAUUGUCCCUCAGUGAAAAAAAAUUGGCUUCAUCACUGGGUAAAACAAUGGCAACACCAACGGGUAAUGGGUCGACACCAACGUCGACGCCAGCUCAAACUCCAUCCGAGCCAGACCAACAACAAAAGCAGAACCUUAGCAAGGUGCUUAAUUCCAUCCAACAGUCGCUCGGCCUCCUCCAUCAGCUCCAUCUCACUGUCUCCUCCUUCAACAUGGCCUCCCAGCUCCCCCUCCUCCAACGCCUGAAUGAUGUUGUGUUGGAGCUUGAAAUGCUGCAGAAGCUCGCUGAUAGCUGCAACAUACAGGUGCCCAUGGAGGUCGUCAACUUGAUUGACGAUGGGAAGAACCCAGACGAGUUCACCAGAGAUGUCAUCAACAGCUGCAUUGCUAGGAAUCAGGUCACCAAGGGCAAGACGGACGCGUUCAAGAGCCUAAGGAAGCACCUACUAGAGGAACUAGAACAAGCAUUUCCUGAAGAAGUGGAAGUUUAUAGGGAGAUACGUGCAACUUCUGCUGCUUGUUUCAGGUCUAAGGCUUGUCGACGGUGAUUAUUACAACCCUUUUUGAGCUAAGGUGUUUUGCUUAGAGUGCGUCUUCAUUCUGUACUGGGGAUUUUUUUCUCCGAAUUGGAAUAGUUUUCUUGUUGGAGCAUCACUAAAUAUAUGGUCACAAUUUGUUGGAUAUUGGGGCAGCAUCCUUCAGUCUCUCAAGGCCUUAAGCCACAAAUGAAUAAUAAAGAUUAUAUGGUGUCAUUCUUGUGUGUUUUUUGGGACAGACUGGAUUGGAGAAGUCUGAGAUUGAACCAUAAGGUAUUCUUACUGGCGAAGAGGUCAGGUUCCGCCUUGGGCCAAAACUGUCAGAUUGGCGCCUGAUUGUACUCGCCUGGAAGAGUUGAAUGGUCCACGUCCUAUUAAUGGGCAUGUCUGUGUGCAUGAUUCAGCCUAAGUCAAAUGGGGGCAGGAGUCCAAAAGAUUAGCACAGGCACAGAGCAUUUUGCCUAAUGGUGAUAUGAAGAUCAAUUCAGAGCACUGAUUGAUGCUAAGAUGAUGUGUAUACCAUAUUUCAACCACUUUGGUCAGCUGUGCUGCUCUAAGAGGACUAACAAUUGUAUUUUCUGGCUUUAGUUUUAGUCUUGGUUGUUUCUUCCUGUAUUUCGGUGUCAUGUAUUGUCUCUGCCUGCCAAUUAUCUCACAUAUAAGUUUACCAAAAUGACAAAAUUACUCCGCCAUGUAUGAUUUUACAAAUGGGAUGUUGUGUGCAUCACUUGUCUAAAUUGCAGAAAACUGCCACAACAAUAGGCAUCUACAAUAAACUACAACCUUCGAGUACUGCAGCAACCA